UUAAAGGUGGGUGUUUUUGAGAAAAAAUUAAAUUUAAAUUGCCUUCCAAACCAUAAUAGGACAGCUUAAUCCUACAGAGAAUGGCUCGACCAAAAAGUCCUACAGAGAAAGGGAGAAAAAGAAAAAGGGUAAGAUGUAAAAUACCUAAAGGUAAAGCGAAGCGCAAAAAGGAAAACUGUGCACCGUUUAACGCUUACUCUUUUAGAUGUCACUUUCCUUUUCUGUUAAAGGUGAAGAUAAACUCCAAAAACUUGAUCAAUCUCCCAGUGAGGACUGGCUUCUGAACAUGUUGGAGCCAAUCAGUGGACUUCUUAAUUAAUUUUCAAUAUGAUCAACCAAUUACAGUUUGAAUAGGCCGGUUUUGGUGGUUCAGCUGGUUUGAUGAACACUGUAUUAUAUUCUCCCUAGGCUAACCAUUCAUGCUUGACCUGAAUGUUAUAUUCAGGUAGUUUUUCUCUUAUCUUUAGUUUGUGUUUGUGUUUGUGUGGCUUUUUUUUUUUUUUUUUUUUUUGUUUGUUUAAGCUCGGGCUUGAAGUAACAUUGUUUGUUCUGUUCCGCUAGUGACAAUUGGUUCCAAUUAGAUUGAGAUUGUUCAUGCUAAUCUAAUGUUACUGUCCGCAUUAAAUAUCUAUACAAAGCUUCAAGUUGAAGUGUUGUUGUUCUGCAUUGUUGGUAUCAUUAUUGGAUCUGUUUGAAUUGGAUGUCAAUUAAGUUCAGUUUAGUUGGUAAGAGUUGGGUUUCGAAUGAACUAAAUGUGUGAUCUAGAUAGGGAGUACUUUGUGCUGCCUCAUAUUCUGGGUGUAUAGAUGCUUAUUACAUUUUCUGAGACCUCACUGGUUAUGGAAUUUAUUUUUAUUGAUUAACAGAAUUUUGACCGAGAGGUGUGCCAAAAACUUGUCUUCUUGGAUUUCCGUAAUUGGGGAUAUAGGGUUAAUGCUUGUGUUACUAGACCAUGCGAAUGAGGAGUGUAAGCUUUUCGGUAACUCGGAGUCUCGGAGAGGGAGGGAAAUCAUCAUGCAGAGUUGCUACGAUGGCCUAGUCCAGAGCAAGUACCCACCCAGGGACUUUCCUGAAGAAGUUUGUUAUAAAUGUUGUGAAAUCAGGGUAUAAGAAUUUGGAUUGAGUAUGGCCAUUGUUUUCUUGCACCAUGGGAAAAAUAUAUGUUGUAUGUGUAAGUGUGUGUGUGAGAGAGUCGCAGAGAGAGAAAUCUGACUGAAAGUAUCAAGAUUUUAUUUGAUUAUGAAACCUAAUCCGCUAAUACUAGCUCUUAAUGAUUUUUUUGUAAGAAUAUCCGAGGCAUUGUGGCUAGCUGGAAAUCUUUAGGUGGCUUGGCCGUAUGUGAUAUACGACUCCACUUUAAUACUCUGGAUUUUUCCGGAAAGAAACAACAAAGAGAGGAUAUGACAUGGCUUCAAACCGUUGGCGUAAGGAGUCACGUAUACCAAAACAGGUCUCAUGCGACUCAGCAUUUGGAUUUGUUGUAUUGAAUGGAGAGUUGCAUGUUACAACCCUUUUUAAGGCAGCUGAAUCAGCAGAAAUCUGAAUGUACGGCUAGUGCGGCUAAAGAAAAAGAUAUAUCUCUACAACACUCAUCACAUGACCUGUAAACGUAAGGAGAUAUCUUUGUUGUAGGUGUCGAAGUGAAGGUAUUACAAGGUCCAUAGUAAGUGCAAAGAAGCAUAUAUUGUGGGUCAGAUUUUGAUUUCUUUGUGCCCCAAAAUGCAUGCCAAUAAUAUAAUGAAAAAUUAUUUGCAAGACUCAUUUCUUCUGUUCCGAGUCCUGACCCAUUCAAAUUUUAAUGCUUCCCACAAUAGAAAAAGAGCACACUGGUGCCUAUAAAUACCCAUAUAUCUAACCCUCCACAUAACACAUCCUUCAUAUUUUUAAGCUAGAUAUCUUUGUUUAAUAUCUAUAAGUAUAAGAUCAAUAGAUCACCAUUUGGUUUUUUAAUGUUAUAUUCACAGUCAUAACAGUUGUAUUUCUCAUGAGCAUGAACUUGCAAGAGGCUAGUGCAGGCAGGGUUGUAUGAUGUGAACGGAAACUCAGCAAGGAUGAUGACGACGAUGAGCAAAGACAUCAUGCUGAUGAAGUCGAAGCAGAGGGCCGACCAUCCUCCUCGCGGUGGAUCUAAUCCGAAGGUCCCUGCUAUGUUGAAUGAUCUUGACGGUACAACGAUCAACCAAAGGAACUUUGCAGGCCACACAACUACUCCGCCUUUUCCACAUGAUGCUUACCCUCAUAAUGCCGUGGCUAGAUCACAACUCGGCGUGGCUACAGAUCAUAAAUCAUUUAGUUGAUUAAUAAUAUCUACAGAAAUCCCAACCUAAUAAGAUACAUCAAAUGUGAUAGAAAAUAGACGAAUAAGUAGAGGGUAAAAACCUAGUUUAAUUUUUCACAUUUAUUUUCAUUAUACCUUUCUUUUAUCUGUGUUUCUUCUUGAAUAAAAAAAAAUAGAACUAUCUUAUUUCUUAUUUA
Molecule: long non-coding RNA, 2475 nt
Organism: Pyrus x bretschneideri (Chinese white pear)
Lineage: Eukaryota; Viridiplantae; Streptophyta; Magnoliopsida; Rosales; Rosaceae
Exons: 2
Source: RefSeq, a predicted model, not a curated record